UGCCCUAGUAACGGCGAGUGAAGCGGCAACAGCUCAAAUUUGAAAUCUGGCUCUCGGGCCCGAGUUGUAAUUUGUAGAGGAUACUUUUGAUGCGGUGCCUUCCGAGUUCCCUGGAACGGGACGCCAUAGAGGGUGAGAGCCCCGUCUGGUUGGAUGCCAAAUCUCUGUAAAGUUCCUUCGACGAGUCGAGUAGUUUGGGAAUGCUGCUCUAAAUGGGAGGUAUAUGUCUUCUAAAGCUAAAUACCGGCCAGAGACCGAUAGCGCACAAGUAGAGUGAUCGAAAGAUGAAAAGCACUUUGAAAAGAGAGUUAAAAAGUACGUGAAAUUGUUGAAAGGGAAGCGUUUAUGACCAGACUUGGGCUUGGUUAAUCAUCUGGGGUUCUCCCCAGUGCACUUUUCCAGUCCAGGCCAGCAUCAGUUUUCCCCGGGGGAUAAAGACUUCAGGAAUGUGGCUCUCUUCGGGGAGUGUUAUAGCCUGUUGUGUAAUACCCUGGGGGGGACUGAGGUUCGCGCAUCUGCAAGGAUGCUGGCGUAAUGGUCAUCAACGACCCGUCUUGAAACACGGACCAAGGAGUCGUCUUCGUAUGCGAGUGUUCGGGUGUCAAACCCCUACGCGUAAUGAAAGUGAACGCAGGUGAGAGCUUCGGCGCAUCAUCGACCGAUCCUGAUGUUCUCGGAUGGAUUUGAGUAAGAGCAUACGGGGCCGGACCCGAAAGAAGGUGAACUAUGCCUGUAUAGGGUGAAGCCAGAGGAAACUCUGGUGGAGGCUCGCAGCGGUUCUGACGUGCAAAUCGAUCGUCAAA
Molecule: ribosomal RNA, 803 nt
Filed under: Fusarium sp. BCCM/IHEM 5390
Lineage: Eukaryota; Fungi; Ascomycota; Sordariomycetes; Hypocreales; Nectriaceae
Description: eukaryotic LSU rRNA
Rfam family: Eukaryotic large subunit ribosomal RNA
Source: RNAcentral